AUGUCAUUCAUGGCGAGCUCAAGGCAGACGCGGACAACAUGGUGCAGCCGCUGCGGCGCGUCCAUCUCCGCGCCGCCGGGCGCGCGCUCCGUUCGUUGCGCGCUCUGCCACACCACGACGCGCGUGGAGCGCCGGCCGCAGCACAACGGCGGCCUGCACCAGGCCGUGGGCUUCAUCAAGGGCCUGCUCUUCGGGUCUCCGUCGCAGCCGCAGCCGCCGCCGCCCGCGUCCUCCGGGUCGAUGCGUGCCGGCGACCCGUACCGCCUGCCGGCCAGCUACCCGCGCGCCCGCGGCAAGAAGCGGGCGCUCCUCGUCGGCAUCAGCUACAGCUUCACCAAGUACGAGCUCAAAGGCACCGUCAACGACGUCAACUGCAUGGCCUACUUGCUCCGCCAGAGGUUCGGCUUCCCCGGCGACUCCAUCCUCGCCCUCACGCAGGAGGAGAAGGACCCGUACCGUUGGCCGACCAAGGACAACAUCCGGCUUGCGAUGCGGUGGCUGGUGGAGGGCUGCACCUCCGGAGACUCCCUGGUGUUCCACUUCUCCGGCCACGGCGUCCAGAAGCUGGACAACAACGGCGACGAGGUGGACGGCUACGACGAGGCGCUCUGCCCUCAGGACUUCGAGGAUCGCGGCGUGAUCCUCGAUGACGAGAUCAACGAGACCAUCGUCCGCCCCCUCGGCGCAGGCGUCAAGCUCCACGCCAUCAUCGAUACCUGCCACAGCGGCACCAUCCUCGAUCUCCCCUACCUCUGUCGCAUAUCCAGAACUGGGUACUGGCAAUGGGAGAACCACAACCGUCAGCCAGAUGCACAGAAAGGCACCAGCGGCGGCCUGGCGAUCUCCUUCAGCGGCUGCGGGGACAGCCAAACCUCCGCAGAGUCAGACAGGAAGGCGUUCUUGGGCUCCACCUCCACCGGCGCCAUGACGUACAGCUUCAUCAAGGCGGUGGAGUCUGAGCCGGGCACCACCUACGGUCGCCUGCUCAGCGCGAUGCGGGCCACCAUCCGCGACAACGGCGGUGACUCCGGCAUCCCUGGGCCCAUCGGCUCCUUUUUCCGCCGGGUCAUCACCUUCAGCAGCGCACAGGAGCCUCAGCUGUGCGCGUCCGAAGCAUUCGACAUCUACAGGAAGCCGUUUAUCUUGUAA
This 1149-nucleotide ribosomal RNA is filed under the name Triticum aestivum (bread wheat). Its description in RNAcentral is "partial small subunit ribosomal RNA". The record is from RNAcentral. Lineage: Eukaryota; Viridiplantae; Streptophyta; Magnoliopsida; Poales; Poaceae.